RNAcentral lists this ribosomal RNA (391 nucleotides) under uncultured Methanosaeta sp. RNAcentral's name for it is "bacterial SSU rRNA". It matches the Rfam family "Archaeal small subunit ribosomal RNA", at positions 949 to 1338 of the family's 1478-position model. The record is from RNAcentral. Lineage: Archaea; Methanobacteriati; Methanobacteriota; Methanomicrobia; Methanotrichales; Methanotrichaceae.
GAAGGUCAGGCUGAAGACCUUACCCGAUUAGCUGAGAGGUGGUGCAUGGCCGUCGUCAGUUCGUACUGUGAAGCAUCCUGUUAAGUCAGGCAACGAGCGAGACCCACGUCCACAGUUGCCAGCAUACCCCUCCGGGGUGAUGGGUACACUGUGGAGACCGCCGCUGCUAAAGCGGAGGAAGGAGUGGGCAACGGUAGGUCAGUAUGCCCCGAAUCUCCCGGGCUACACGCGGGCUACAAUGGUUGGUACAAUGGGCAUCUACCCCGAAAGGGGAAGGAAAUCUCUUAAAGCCAAUCGUAGUUCGGAUUGAGGGCUGCAACUCGCCCUCAUGAAGCUGGAAUCCGUAGUAAUCGCGUUUCAACAGAACGCGGUGAAUACGUCCCUGCUCCUU